RNAcentral lists this ribosomal RNA (406 nucleotides) under uncultured bacterium. Its description in RNAcentral is "partial 16S ribosomal RNA". It matches the Rfam family "Bacterial small subunit ribosomal RNA", at positions 28 to 526 of the family's 1533-position model. The record is from RNAcentral.
GAUGAACGCUGACAGAAUGCUUAACACAUCAGCAAUUGAUUGGUGGCGGACGGGUGAGUAACGCGUAAAGAACUUACCUCACAGUUAGGGACAACAUUUGGAAACGAAUGCUAAUACCUAAUACUGUGAGAGAGCUUUGCGUCCCAUUAGCUAGUUGGAGAGGUAACGACUCACCAAGGCGAUGAUGGGUAGCCGGCCGGAGAGGGUGAUCGGCCACAAUGGUACUGAGACACCGCCCUGACUCCGACUGGAGGCAGCAGUGGGGAAUAGUGGACAAUCGUCCAAAGUCUUAUCCAGCACUUCUGUGUGCACGAUGAAGUUUUCGGAAUGUAAAGUGCUUUCAGUUGGGAAGCGGUACCAACAGAAGACGUGACGGCUAAAUACGUGCCAGCCGCCGCGGUAAUAC